This 29-nucleotide non-coding RNA is filed under the name Rattus norvegicus (Norway rat). The record is from RNAcentral. Lineage: Eukaryota; Metazoa; Chordata; Mammalia; Rodentia; Muridae.
UGCUGUGAGCUUGAGGCUGGCCUGGUCUA